GAUGAACGCUGGCGGCGUGCCUAAUACAUGCAAGUCGAGCGAACGGACGAGAAGCUUGCUUCUCUGAUGUUAGCGGCGGACGGGUGAGUAACACGUGGAUAACCUACCUAUAAGACUGGGAUAACUUCGAGAAACCGGAGCUAAUACCGGAUGAUAUUUUGAACCGCAUGGUUCAAAAGUGAAAGACGGUCUUGCUGUCACUUAUAGAUGGAUCCGCGCUGCAUUAGCUAGUUGGUAAGGUAACGGCUUACCAAGGCAACGAUGCAUAGCCGACCUGAGAGGGUGAUCGGCCACACUGGAACUGAGACACGGUCCAGACUCCUACGGGAGGCAGCAGUAGGGAAUCUUCCGCAAUGGGCGAAAGCCUGACGGAGCAACGCCGCGUGAGUGAUGAAGGUCUUCGGAUCGUAAAACUCUGUUAUUAGGGAAGAACAUAUGUGUAAGUAACUGUGCACAUCUUGACGGCACCUAAUCAGAAAGCCACGGCUAACUACGUG
This 497-nucleotide ribosomal RNA is filed under the name uncultured bacterium. Its description in RNAcentral is "partial 16S ribosomal RNA". It matches the Rfam family "Bacterial small subunit ribosomal RNA", at positions 28 to 507 of the family's 1533-position model. The record is from RNAcentral.